CUUGGGGGGGGGGACAGGGUCCCUCAGCCUGGAUUGCAAGAGGGCACAAGCCAGGUUGAGGGACCCCACCGGUGCACA
This 78-nucleotide microRNA precursor is filed under the name Myotis lucifugus (little brown bat). RNAcentral's name for it is "mir-9193 microRNA precursor family". It matches the Rfam family "mir-9193 microRNA precursor family". The record is from Rfam by way of RNAcentral. Lineage: Eukaryota; Metazoa; Chordata; Mammalia; Chiroptera; Vespertilionidae.